UAGAGGGUGGUAGAAUUUCAGGUGUAGCGGUGAAAUGCGUAGAGAUCUGAAGGAAUACCGAUGGCGAAGGCAGCCACCUGGGUCAAUACUGACGCUCAUGUACGAAAGCGUGGGGAGCAAACGGGAUUAGAUACCCCGGUAGUCCACGCCGUAAACGAUGUCUACUAGGAGCUGGGGUCUUCGGACAACUUUUCCAAAGCUAACGCAUUAAGUAGACCGCCUGGGGAGUACGGCCGCAAGGUUAAAACUCAAAUGAAUUGACGGGGGCCCGCACAAGCGGUGGAGCAUGUGGUUUAAUUCGAAGCAACGCGCAGAACCUUACCUACGCUUGACAUGCCUGGACGACUCCGAGAGAUCGGUUUCUCCCUUCGGGGCCAGUGCACAGGUGCUGCAUGGCUGUCGUC
Molecule: ribosomal RNA, 404 nt
Filed under: Eutreptiella gymnastica
Lineage: Eukaryota; Euglenozoa; Euglenophyceae; Eutreptiales; Eutreptiaceae
Description: partial Bacterial small subunit ribosomal RNA
Rfam family: Bacterial small subunit ribosomal RNA
Source: RNAcentral